AUCUGAUCUCAAAUCAGGUAGGACUACCCGCUGAACUUAAGCAUAUCAAUAA
RNAcentral lists this ribosomal RNA (52 nucleotides) under Rhizoctonia solani. RNAcentral's name for it is "partial 28S ribosomal RNA". The record is from RNAcentral. Lineage: Eukaryota; Fungi; Basidiomycota; Agaricomycetes; Cantharellales; Ceratobasidiaceae.